GUCACCUUCUCCCCAUUAAAAUGGGAAGCUUGGGAAAAUCAUUUUAGUGUAAGGUGUCCAGGGUAAGUUAGUUAUCUAGCUACGUUAUGGUAGUUACGAUACCUUAAAGUGCCUCCCUAGCUUUAAGCUCUAUCGCCUAGCAUUAAAUAACUCAAUGGGAGUACAAUAGAGUAGUGUGUUAAGCGUAAAAGCUACCAUAACUUACCCGAAGGGAGCGUAGA
Molecule: non-coding RNA, 221 nt
Organism: Acetohalobium arabaticum DSM 5501
Lineage: Bacteria; Bacillati; Bacillota; Clostridia; Halanaerobiales; Halobacteroidaceae
Rfam family: HNH endonuclease-associated RNA and ORF (HEARO) RNA
Source: Rfam